GCGGAUGUGGCGGAAUUGGCAGACGCGCCAGAUUCAGGUUCUGGUGGUGGCAACGCUGUGUGGGUUCAAAUCCCACCAUCCGCACCA
RNAcentral lists this transfer RNA (87 nucleotides) under Candidatus Goldiibacteriota bacterium. RNAcentral describes it as "tRNA-Leu". It matches the Rfam family "tRNA". From Rfam's summary of the family: Transfer RNA (tRNA) molecules are approximately 80 nucleotides in length. Their secondary structure includes four short double-helical elements and three loops (D, anti-codon, and T loops). Lineage: Bacteria; Candidatus Goldiibacteriota. The record is from RNAcentral.